AAGAAGAGCUGGAAACGAGCAUUGAGGAGCCUACACCGAAAAAAGACGGUGAAAAUCCUCACAACUUAGAUAUUGCAUGUGUGAAAACAGACACUCAAGAUUCAAGUAAAGAGGUUGUCCAAACAACAAUAAUCCCUGAGGGAGAAAGUGAGGAACAUAACAAGGAAGAUGAAAUUUGCAGCUCAGACGAACUGCAGGAACAUUUGAUACUUUCAGAAGGGAAAAGCAAGGAGGAAGCCAAAGAAACCUAUAAAGAAGCCUGUGUUGAGGCUGAGCAGUUUGAUUUAUCUUCUCAAACCAAAGACAUAUCAGAAUGUGCAUUU
Molecule: long non-coding RNA, 323 nt
Organism: Salvia splendens (bonfire salvia)
Lineage: Eukaryota; Viridiplantae; Streptophyta; Magnoliopsida; Lamiales; Lamiaceae
Exons: 3
Source: RefSeq, a predicted model, not a curated record